This 529-nucleotide ribosomal RNA is filed under the name uncultured bacterium. RNAcentral describes it as "bacterial SSU rRNA". It matches the Rfam family "Bacterial small subunit ribosomal RNA", at positions 777 to 1303 of the family's 1533-position model. The record is from RNAcentral.
AAUAGAUACCCGAGGUAGUCCACGCCGUAAACGAUGAGUGCUAAGUGUUAGAGGGUUUCCGCCCUUUAGUGCUGCAGCUAACGCAUUAAGCACUCCGCCUGGGGAGUACGGUCGCAAGACUGAAACUCAAAGGAAUUGACGGGGGCCCGCACAAGCGGUGGAGCAUGUGGUUUAAUUCGAAGCAACGCGAAGAACCUUACCAGGUCUUGACAUCCUCUGACAACUCUAGAGAUAGAGCGUUCCCCUUCGGGGGACAGAGUGACAGGUGGUGCAUGGUUGUCGUCAGCUCGUGUCGUGAGAUGUUGGGUUAAGUCCCGCAACGAGCGCAACCCUUGAUCUUAGUUGCCAGCAUUCAGUUGGGCACUCUAAGGUGACUGCCGGUGACAAACCGGAGGAAGGUGGGGAUGACGUCAAAUCAUCAUGCCCCUUAUGACCUGGGCUACACACGUGCUACAAUGGAUGGUACAAAGGGCUGCAAGACCGCGAGGUCAAGCCAAUCCCAUAAAACCAUUCUCAGUUCGGAUUGGUA